CCUACGGGAGGCAGCAGUGGGGAAUAUUGCACAAUGGGGGAAACCCUGAUGCAGCAACGCCGCGUGAGUGAUGACGGCCUUCGGGUUGUAAAGCUCUGUCUUCAGGGACGAUAAUGACGGUACCUGAGGAGGAAGCCACGGCUAACUACGUGCCAGCAGCCGCGGUAAUACGUAGGUGGCGAGCGUUGUCCGGAUUUACUGGGCGUAAGGGGAGCGUAGGCGGACUUUUAAGUGAGAUGUGAAAUACUCGGGCUCAACUUGAGUGCUGCAUUUCAAACUGGAAGUCUAGAGUGCAGGAGAGGAGAAUGGAAGUCCGAGUGUAGCGGUGAAAGGCGGAGAGAUUAGGAAGAACACCAGUGGCGAGGGGGAUUCGCUGGACUGUAACUGACGCUGAGGCUCGAAAGCGUGGGGAGCAAACAGGAUUAGAUACCCUAGUAGUC
This 440-nucleotide ribosomal RNA is filed under the name uncultured bacterium. RNAcentral's name for it is "partial 16S ribosomal RNA". It matches the Rfam family "Bacterial small subunit ribosomal RNA", at positions 338 to 795 of the family's 1533-position model. The record is from RNAcentral.